Molecule: unclassified non-coding RNA, 205 nt
Filed under: plant metagenome
Description: partial contains small subunit ribosomal RNA, internal transcribed spacer 1, and 5.8S ribosomal RNA
Source: RNAcentral
UUUCCGUAGGUGAACCUGCGGAAGGAUCAUCAUAGGAAAAAAUUCUUUUUUUCUAUAGACUUACACCCCUUUGUGCUCCUUGUUCGAGGUCUGUAACAGGGCCUCGUUCAACCUUUUUAAAAAACAACCUUUUAAACAUUUUAAUUUAAAUACACCUUUAUAAAUAACCAAAAGACAACUUUUAACAACGGAUCUCUUGGCUCUC